This 479-nucleotide ribosomal RNA is filed under the name uncultured bacterium. Its description in RNAcentral is "bacterial SSU rRNA". It matches the Rfam family "Bacterial small subunit ribosomal RNA", at positions 29 to 526 of the family's 1533-position model. The record is from RNAcentral.
AAUGAACGUUGGCGGCGUGGAUUAGGCAUGCAAGUCGAGCGGGUGUAGUAAUACAUCAGCGGCGAAAGGGAGAGUAACGCGUAGUUACGUGCCCCGAGGUCCAGAAUAGCUACGGGAAACUGUAGGUAAUGCUGGAUAAUAUCUCCGGAUCAAAGGUGUGAUUCCGCCUCGGGAGCGGACUGCGUCCUACUAGCUAGUUGGCGGGGUAAUGGCCCACCAAGGCGACGAUGGGUAGCGGGUGUGAGAGCAUGACCCGUCUCACUGGGACUGAGACACUGCCCAGACACCUACGGGUGGCUGCAGUCGAGAAUCUUCGGCAAUGAGCGCAAGCUUGACCGAGCGACGCCGCGUGCGGGAUGAAGGCCUUCGGGUUGUAAACCGCUUUCGGUUGGGAGGAAAUCGCUAGGGGUUCUCCCCUAGUGUUGACCUAUCUUCGGAAGAAGGACGGGCUAAGUUCGUGCCAGCAGCCGCCGUAACAC